CUAUCAGGUUUAGCUGAACUGUAACAUGCCCGGACAAUACCUCCUAAUGCGGAUUUAUACAAGCUAGGGGGUGGGGUUAGGGUUUUUUUUUCUUCCAUGCACUACUCCUUCUUUGGUUCCUCACAACAGUAUUAGUACAAUGUUCUUGAAAAUGAGUGGUUGCCAAAAAAGGUGACAAUAAAAUUGUGGAGGAAAUGUUGGCCCGAUUUUGCCAGAGCAUGAGCAAUAAAGCUGCCAAUACGCCAGUCAACUAGUAAACAAGAAGCAAUAAUUGUCCUCAAAACAAAGAUAGACCAACCAGAAACACCUCUGUAACUUGUCCAUUUUAAAAAAAUUGAUCAUUUUUUAAAUUUGAAAAUAAUUUUGCUUAAACUUAUAAUUUUAUCCUUAAUGAGAAGCUUUUAUAAUCACACAAAUAAUCUGGGCCCCUUUUUAAAUUGUUUAGGACCACAAAUUCUAAAAGUCUUUAUUUUUUCUUAAACUCUGUGCCCAAUCAAACAUGUUCACAUAAAUUGGAACGGAGGGAGUAGUAAUUUGUAUCUUUUGGACAAUCAAAAACCUUAGAAGGUAGCAAGUUGUGUAUAUAUAUAACAACAACAACAACCUAGUAUAAUCUCACUAGUGGGUAUGGGGAGGAUAGUUUGUACGCAGAUCUUACCCCUACCCUAGGGUAGAGAGGCUGUUUCCGAUAGACCUUCGGCUCCCU
This 706-nucleotide long non-coding RNA is filed under the name Nicotiana tabacum (common tobacco). RNAcentral describes it as "long non-coding RNA (NTAB_LNC013029)". Lineage: Eukaryota; Viridiplantae; Streptophyta; Magnoliopsida; Solanales; Solanaceae. The record is from RNAcentral.